This 458-nucleotide ribosomal RNA is filed under the name uncultured bacterium. RNAcentral's name for it is "bacterial SSU rRNA". It matches the Rfam family "Bacterial small subunit ribosomal RNA", at positions 340 to 786 of the family's 1533-position model. The record is from RNAcentral.
UACGGAAGGCAGCAGUGGGGAAUAUUGCACAAUGGGCGAAAGCCUGAUGCAGCUAUGCCGCGUGUAUGAAGAAGGCCUUAGGGUUGUAAAGUACUUUCAUCGGGGAGGAAAAACAAAACUAAUAAUUUUAUUUCUUGACGUUACCCGAAAAAGAAGCACCGGCUAACUCCGUGCCAGCAGCCGCGGUAAUACGGAGGGUGCUAGCGUUAAUCAGAAUUACUGGGCGUAAAGAGCACGUAGGUGGUUUUUUUAAGUCAGAUGUGAAAUCCCUGGGCUUAACCUAGGAACUGCAUUUUGAAACUGAAAUACUAGAGUAUCGUAGAGGGAGGUAGAAUUCUAGGUGUAGCGGUGAAAUGCGUAGAUAUCUGGAGGAAUACCUGUGGCGAAAAGCGGCCUCCUAAACGAAUACUGACACUGAGGUGCGAAAAGCGUGGGGAGCAAAACAGGGAUUAGAUACC